This 118-nucleotide ribosomal RNA is filed under the name Sorex araneus (European shrew). The record is from RNAcentral. Lineage: Eukaryota; Metazoa; Chordata; Mammalia; Eulipotyphla; Soricidae.
AGCCGUGGCCACGCCACCUUGAACGCACCGGAUCUCAUCUGAUCUUGGAAGCUAAACAGGGUUGGGCCUGCUUAGAGCUUGAACGGGAGACUGCACCGGGUUUGGGAACGCAAGGCUC